This 359-nucleotide ribosomal RNA is filed under the name Pseudo-nitzschia fraudulenta. Its description in RNAcentral is "partial Bacterial small subunit ribosomal RNA". It matches the Rfam family "Bacterial small subunit ribosomal RNA", at positions 529 to 888 of the family's 1533-position model. Lineage: Eukaryota; Bacillariophyta; Bacillariophyceae; Bacillariales; Bacillariaceae. The record is from RNAcentral.
AGGGGGCUAGCGUUGUUCGGAAUUACUGGGCGUAAAGCGCGCGUAGGCGGGCUAUUAAGCCAGAUGUGAAAGCCCGGGGCUCAACCUCGGAAUUGCAUUUGGAACUGGUAGCCUAGAGACCAGGAGAGGUUAGCGGAAUACCGAGUGUAGAGGUGAAAUUCGUAGAUAUUCGGUGGAACACCAGUGGCGAAGGCGGCUAACUGGACUGGUACUGACGCUGAGGUGCGAAAGUGUGGGGAGCAAACAGGAUUAGAUACCCUGGUAGUUCACGCCGUAAACGAUGAAUGCCAGCCGUUAGUGGGUUUACUCACUAGUGGCGCAGCUAACGCUUUAAGCAUUCCGCCUGGGGAGUACGGUCG